UACGGGGGGUGCGAGCGUUGUCCGGAAUCACUGGGCGUAAAGGGCGCGUAGGUGGUUUGAUAAGGGUGUGGUGAAAGUCCGGAGCUCAACUCCGGAUCUGCCGUGCCGACUGUCAAACUCGAGGGCUGUAGAGGCAGACGGAAUUCCGGGUGUAGCGGUGGAAUACGUAGAGAUCCGGAGGAAGACCGGUGGCGAAGGCGGUCUGCUGGGCAGUUUCUGACACUGAGGCGCGACAGCGUGGGGAGCAAACGGGG
Molecule: ribosomal RNA, 254 nt
Filed under: uncultured bacterium
Lineage: Bacteria
Description: partial 16S ribosomal RNA
Rfam family: Bacterial small subunit ribosomal RNA
Source: RNAcentral